This 253-nucleotide ribosomal RNA is filed under the name uncultured bacterium. RNAcentral describes it as "partial 16S ribosomal RNA". It matches the Rfam family "Bacterial small subunit ribosomal RNA", at positions 524 to 776 of the family's 1533-position model. The record is from RNAcentral.
UACGUAGGUGGCAAGCGUUGUCCGGAAUUAUUGGGCGUAAAGCGCUCGUAGGCGGUCUGUCGCGUCUGGUGUGAAAACCCGAGGCUCAACCUCGGGCUGGCAUCGGGUACGGGCGGACUAGAGUGCUGUAGGGGAGACUGGAAUUCCUGGUGUAGCGGUGGAAUGCGCAGAUAUCAGGAGGAACACCGAUGGCGAAGGCAGAUCUCUGGGCCAUUACUGACACUGAGAAGCGAAAGCAUGGGGAGCGAACAGG